ACAAUUGGUUCAAAAGCCACCUCAAGCUGUUAUAACACAAUAUGCCAUUUGUGAAUCCGUGACUAUUGAACAAGAUUUGUUGACAAAGGCUUUACUUGUUAGGAUGGUUGACUUGAGCUGUGAAAAGAUGUCUAUAUAUAUUGAAUUUGUUACUGAUAUGCUGUUUUUGAAUUGGUGAAUCCUACAGUUUACAGGUCGUCAAACCCGUACCCAUUUACAACAAGGAAAGACAAACUUCUUUGAAAAAAAAAAUUGGCGAUUACCAAAAAGCUUCAGUGGCUGUUAUUAAAAUUCCUCAACUAUCAACAAUGGACAUAAUUGAUGAAGACUUUUAAAUAAGUAUAUUCUGAUAGGUACCUAUUUCCUAUUAUUUGUGUACUUAUUUUUCCUAUAUUUCAACACACUACACAUCAGAAAGUAUAUAAUAAAAAAGAAAAAGUUUACACACAUAUUUUGCCUGUGUCUCCUUCUAAACAAUUGGAUCACAAGCCACCUUCAACUGUUAUCACAUAUAUGUUUGGUGAAAUCGUAACUAUUGUAAAGAUUUUUUGAUUAAUGCUUAACCUGUCAGAAUGGUUGGCAUGAGCAUGAGCUGUGAAAAGAUAUAUUAUAAUAUUGAAGAUAUUGCUGAUAGGCUGUUAAAAUUAGCGGGGUCCUAUUGUUUACUGGUCGUUAAACCUGUUCCCACACACGGAACUUACUUCUCAACAAGGAACAACAAACUUUGAAAGAAGACUCAGCGAACACCAAUUACCUUAAAUUAUUGCACUCUGAAUCGUAUUUGUCAAUGGCAUAUUAUUUACCAUUAUAAGAAAAUUUUUAUUUUUUAAUUUUAUUAUAAAAAUGUAAUUUAUUUAAAUUCUAAAUAAAUUAUACUAUUAUACUUUUCAUAUUUGUCGUAUUUAUAGUUAAAUUGUAAUGUAAAAUUUAGAAAUAUAUGACUAAUGUGUUGUAAUUUAUUGUUAUACUUGCAGCAGUUAUUUAUACAUACUAAAUAACUAAUUAAGAAGAAAUAAAUUGUAAUAUAAUAUAAGA
Metopolophium dirhodum (rose-grain aphid) is the source of this 1035-nucleotide long non-coding RNA. RefSeq lists it as uncharacterized. The transcript has 4 exons. The record is from RefSeq and is a predicted model, not a curated record. NCBI's taxonomy places the organism in Eukaryota, Metazoa, Arthropoda, Insecta, Hemiptera, Aphididae.